UUGUGGAGGAGGACGCCGAAGGUGGGGCUAAUGACUGGGGUGAAGUCGUAACAAGGUAGCCGUACCGGAAGGUGCGGCUGGAUCACCUCCUAACAGGGAGACAACAAAAUGUUAAAUAUUAAUUUUGUCACCUUAGGUCGAUCGGUAUCUCAGGUUCUUAAUUUAUAUUGAGAAUUUCAAUUCCUAAGUUUUUUCUAGGUCACACCCAUUACUUUUCCUGGGCCAUUAGCUCAGGUGGUUAGAGCGCACCCCUGAUAAGGGUGAGGUCCCUGGUUCAAGUCCAGGAUGGCCCAUAUCUCUAUGUUGGGGGUAUAGCUCAGUUGGUAGAGCGCCUGCUUUGCAAGCAGGAUGUCAGCGGUUCGAGUCCGCUUACCUCCACUGAUCACCACCUCUUCCAUAAUGUAGAAGGGAAUUGUUUUGAGAUGUCCUAAAUUCUGAACGAAUCUAGCUUCCUAAUUAAAAAAUUAAGAUGCUGGACUCAUUGAAUUUUUUCAUUGUUUUCAGAGAACCUUGACAACUGCAUAGAUUAUUUUAAAGACAAUAAGCAUCUUUAAUGAUGCAGAUUUAUUAUUUGUGCGAAUGCAUUAAUAACAAUUCUAUUAAGCUGAUGCUUCAAUUAUGAAGUUAUUGGUCAAGCUACAA
This 642-nucleotide unclassified non-coding RNA is filed under the name uncultured Prochlorococcus sp. RNAcentral's name for it is "partial 16S-23S ribosomal RNA intergenic spacer; may also contain 16S ribosomal RNA and 23S ribosomal RNA". The stretch from base 306 to 378 matches the Rfam family "tRNA". Lineage: Bacteria; Bacillati; Cyanobacteriota; Cyanophyceae; Synechococcales; Prochlorococcaceae. The record is from RNAcentral.